UGUGCAAAUUGUUAAAAAAUAAUCUCACAUUGCCUAUGAACAAGAUCUUGGGCAUGUAUAUAAGAAAUGAGCAAUCAUCUCUUGUAAAACCAAUUUUAUGAGAUGAGUUAGGCCCGUUAAUUUCUUCU
Juglans microcarpa x Juglans regia is the source of this 128-nucleotide long non-coding RNA. RefSeq lists it as uncharacterized. NCBI's taxonomy places the organism in Eukaryota, Viridiplantae, Streptophyta, Magnoliopsida, Fagales, Juglandaceae. The transcript is spliced from 3 exons. The record is from RefSeq and is a predicted model, not a curated record.